CUCUUGAUUAUUAUUCAUACACAGUAAUGUGAAGCAUGCUCAUAUCUAGUAUAACUGGACCAACCUGGUGCUCUUCAUUUAUGGAGGCUGUUGAGUCUGAAUGUUGGAUGUUGUGUAUCUCGUGUUCUCUGGGCUUUGUUGUCCUCAGUCUUUUUGCAGGAUCAGAAAACAAAACCAGGAGGCCUGUAAAUGUUUCUUCUCCAAUUGGAUGAUGAUAAGACUGUGACAUGGGAUGCCACCUUUAGUCUUGUGAUGAAGCAAAGCUCAGGAAGAAGUGUGAUUAAAUGGUACCCACAUGUGUGCUGCUGAGAAGGAUGUACAGGGGCACCUGCAGCCAAAUCCAAGCCUCCUCAGAUGGUGAUGGUGUGGAGAGACGGUGGUGUUUCCUCAGAAGAACUAGCAGAGUCACCAAGGGCACGAGUCCAUCUCACCACCUUGACUUGCUGACUGAUGCUCGUCUGCACUGCACAGAGGAAAUCAACUGACCGAGCAGGAAUGGAGAAAUGGAAUCAAAGGGAGAAGUUUUUGAUGUUUUUGUAAUGAUGUAAGUAAAUCUCCAGUUUCUGAGUGAGGGAGAGAGGAGUCAUCAUCCAGGUAAAGUGACGUGGAUCAGUGGAUACACUUGUCUUCGCUUUCAAAGGCGAUACUCUUAGAGAGAGACGAUCCGAGUCAUCCUUAAAUAUGGGCAGGAUAUCAGUCUUGGACUGUGUAACCUGCAGGAGCAGCAUUGAAUGACCACCACACAUGAGCAUGUUCCUGCAACAUUCAGCAGCUUUGCUUUUGUGUCAAAUGUCCAACAGCUGGAGAGGAGACUAAACCAGUGUACUGGGAUGUUUCAUCAACACAUGCCAGACGCUGUUCCUUCAUGGUUUCAUCACCAGAGACAGCCCCGCCCACCUCAGGA
Molecule: long non-coding RNA, 904 nt
Organism: Oreochromis niloticus (Nile tilapia)
Lineage: Eukaryota; Metazoa; Chordata; Actinopteri; Cichliformes; Cichlidae
Exons: 5
Source: RefSeq, a predicted model, not a curated record